RNAcentral lists this ribosomal RNA (497 nucleotides) under uncultured bacterium. RNAcentral describes it as "partial 16S ribosomal RNA". It matches the Rfam family "Bacterial small subunit ribosomal RNA", at positions 28 to 507 of the family's 1533-position model. The record is from RNAcentral.
GAUGAACGCUGGCGGCGUGCCUAAUACAUGCAAGUAGAACGCUGAAGGAAGGAGCUUGCUCUUUCCGGAUGAGUUGCGAACGGGUGAGUAACGCGUAGGUAACCUGCCUGGUAGCGGGGGAUAACUAUUGGAAACGAUAGCUAAUACCGCAUAACAGUAGAUGUUGCAUGAUGUCUACUUAAAAGGUGCAAUUGCACCACUACCAGAUGGACCUGCGUUGUAUUAGCUAGUUGGUGAGGUAACGGCUCACCAAGGCGACGAUACAUAGCCGACCUGAGAGGGUGAUCGGCCACACUGGGACUGAGACACGGCCCAGACUCCUACGGGAGGCAGCAGUAGGGAAUCUUCGGCAAUGGACGGAAGUCUGACCGAGCAACGCCGCGUGAGUGAAGAAGGUUUUCGGAUCGUAAAGCUCUGUUGUAAGAGAAGAACGAGUGUGAGAGUGGAAAGUUCACACUGUGACGGUAUCUUACCAGAAAGGGACGGCUAACUACGUG